UACGGAGGAUGCGAGCGUUAUCCGGAUUUAUUGGGUUUAAAGGGUGCGUAGGCGGACUGUCAAGUCAGCGGUAAAAUUGAGAGGCUCAACCUCUUCCCGCCGUUGAGACUGUCGGUCUUGAGUGGGCGAGAAGUAUGCGGAAUGCGUGGUGUAGCGGUGAAAUGCAUAGAUAUCACGCAGAACUCCGAUUGCGAAGGCAGCAUACCGGCGCCCGACUGACGCUGAGGCACGAAAGCGUGGGUAUCGAACAGG
This 252-nucleotide ribosomal RNA is filed under the name uncultured bacterium. RNAcentral's name for it is "partial 16S ribosomal RNA". It matches the Rfam family "Bacterial small subunit ribosomal RNA", at positions 524 to 776 of the family's 1533-position model. The record is from RNAcentral.